CGCCAGCCCGCUCAGAAACUCAAAGGAAUUGACGGGGGCCCGCACAAGCGGUGGAGCAUGUGGUUUAAUUCGAUGCAACGCGAAGAACCUUACCUGGUCUUGACAUCCCGGAGACCCUUAGGAAACUAGGGGGUGCUUCCAUCUGGAAGAAUCUGGAGACAGGUGCUGCAUGGCUGUCGUCAGCUCGUGUCGUGAGAUGUUGGGUUAAGUCCCGCAACGAGCGCAACCCUUGCCUUUAGUUGCCAGCAGUUCGGCUGGGCACUCUAAAGGGACUGCCGGUGUUAAACCGGAGGAAGGUGGGGAUGACGUCAAGUCCUCAUGGCCUUUAUGACCAGGGCUACACACGUACUACAAUGGCCGAUACAAAGGGCAGCGACACUGCGAGGUGAAGCCAAUCCCGUAAAAUCGGUCUCAGUCCGGAUUGGAGUCUGCAACUCGACUCCAUGAAGUUGGAAUCGCUAGUAAUCGUGGAUCAGCAUGCCACGGUGAAUACGUUCCCGGGCCUU
RNAcentral lists this ribosomal RNA (506 nucleotides) under uncultured Desulfobulbus sp. Its description in RNAcentral is "bacterial SSU rRNA". It matches the Rfam family "Bacterial small subunit ribosomal RNA", at positions 887 to 1382 of the family's 1533-position model. The record is from RNAcentral. Lineage: Bacteria; Pseudomonadati; Thermodesulfobacteriota; Desulfobulbia; Desulfobulbales; Desulfobulbaceae.